RNAcentral lists this ribosomal RNA (320 nucleotides) under uncultured eukaryote. Its description in RNAcentral is "partial 18S ribosomal RNA". It matches the Rfam family "Eukaryotic small subunit ribosomal RNA", at positions 1470 to 1796 of the family's 1831-position model. The record is from RNAcentral.
CCCCUAGAUGUUCUGGGCCGCACGCGCGCUACACUGAACAGUUCAACAAGUCUUAACCUUGGCCGAUAGGUCUGGGUAAUCUUUGAACGCUGUUCGUGAUUGGGAUAGACCUUUGCAAUUAUGGGUCUUCAACGAGGAAUUCCUAGUAAACGCAAGUCAUCAGCUUGCAUUGAUUACGUCCCCGCCCUUUGUACACACCGCCCGUCGCACCUACCGAUUGAAUGGUCCGGUGAAAUCUCGGGACGGCGGCUUGGUCGCUUGCGUCCGACUGCUGAAACUUGAUUAAACCAUAUCAUUUAGAGGAAGGUGAAGUCGUAACC